UGUCAAGGAAUGCUGAUACGUACAGAAGCAGCUUUGUCUGCCUCAACUGCACCCCUACCUGGUGAAAUGACAGUCAAUCUCUGAUUCCAGAUGACAAGAACUGGAUAAAAACUUAAAACAAAUAGAUUACUAUGUACACCCCAAGUGAAACAGUAAAGAAUGAAACUAUGAUUUGUGAAGUGUGGUUGCUACCCAACUAAGUUAGUGGAAAACACUGCAUAACAUAUGACUCAUAAAAUCUAGAAAUCAU
This 250-nucleotide long non-coding RNA is filed under the name Homo sapiens (human). RNAcentral describes it as "HSALNT0221747". Lineage: Eukaryota; Metazoa; Chordata; Mammalia; Primates; Hominidae. The record is from RNAcentral.